RNAcentral lists this transfer RNA (77 nucleotides) under Methylorubrum extorquens. RNAcentral's name for it is "tRNA-Arg(tct)". It matches the Rfam family "tRNA". From Rfam's summary of the family: Transfer RNA (tRNA) molecules are approximately 80 nucleotides in length. Lineage: Bacteria; Pseudomonadati; Pseudomonadota; Alphaproteobacteria; Hyphomicrobiales; Methylobacteriaceae. The record is from RNAcentral. RNAcentral also lists the same sequence under 120 other names.
GACUCCGUAGCUCAGCUGGAUAGAGCAGCCGCCUUCUAAGCGGCAGGUCGUAGGUUCGAGCCCUACCGGGGUCGCCA